This 623-nucleotide long non-coding RNA is filed under the name Bos taurus (domestic cattle). Its description in RNAcentral is "long non-coding RNA NONBTAT013666". Lineage: Eukaryota; Metazoa; Chordata; Mammalia; Artiodactyla; Bovidae. The record is from RNAcentral.
CUGCCAGUUAGCAGAGGUGAGAGUGUGAAGUGUUGAGCCAAGGGCUUAGGUGGAGGGGACGGAGCCCUCUUCUCACCUCCAGGGGCUAUCACAUCACAGCAGAUUCUUCAACUAGUACUUUGGGUGUGUCUUCAUUUCCCCCUUCCACUUCUUUAAAAAAUAUUUAAAACUGAUUGUUAUUCUGUACCUUGGCCAUUUUCUUCACUGGUCACUUACGACAGUUUUGAGGCCACUGUCUGGGGACAGUUCAUUGAUAGCUCCCUCGUCUUCAGUAAUAAGCCUCAUCGAGUGCAACAGCUAGACCUGCAGAGCCUGGACGUGGUGUCCAGGCCUGGCCCUAACACCCACCUGCCACACGACUCUGGGCAGACCACUUCAGUUUGUCCUGCUUAUCUUCCCUAUUAAGCAGUGCUUAGGUUGAGCCGGUAGUUUUGACACCAAGGUAUGGAUUUGGAAAUUCCCGUAGUGGUCAGGAGAAAAUAAUUGCUGACCUAGUCAGGGUCUCUGGAGCACCCUGUUGCUUGCCCGUGCAAGUUCAAGACCUACUUGAUGAUUGUUAAAGGUCCUUCUGGCUUUCCAGUGUAGCACUCAAGGUGGCAUUGACCCUGGAUCUAUAGAAAUCU